GCCUGUAACUCAGCGGUUAGAGUGCUCGUUUGAUAAGCGAGAGGUCAGUAGUUCAAGUCUACUCAGGCGAA
RNAcentral lists this transfer RNA (71 nucleotides) under Bacteroidales bacterium. RNAcentral describes it as "tRNA-Ile". It matches the Rfam family "tRNA". Rfam says of the family: Transfer RNA (tRNA) molecules are approximately 80 nucleotides in length. Their secondary structure includes four short double-helical elements and three loops (D, anti-codon, and T loops). The record is from RNAcentral. Lineage: Bacteria; Pseudomonadati; Bacteroidota; Bacteroidia; Bacteroidales.